This 253-nucleotide ribosomal RNA is filed under the name uncultured bacterium. RNAcentral's name for it is "partial 16S ribosomal RNA". It matches the Rfam family "Bacterial small subunit ribosomal RNA", at positions 524 to 776 of the family's 1533-position model. The record is from RNAcentral.
UACAGAGGUCUCAAGCGUUGUUCGGAUUCAUUGGGCGUAAAGGGUGCGUAGGCGGCGCGGUAAGUCGGGUGUGAAAUCUCGGAGCUUAACUCCGAAACUGCAUUCGAUACUGCCGUGCUUGAGGACUGGAGAGGAGACUGGAAUUUACGGUGUAGCGGUGAAAUGCGUAGAUAUCAUAAGGAAGACCAGUGGCGAAGGCGGGUCUCUGGACAGUUCCUGACGCUGAGGCACGAAGGUCAGGGGAGCAAACGGG